UACGGAGGGUGCAAGCGUUAUCCGGAUUCACUGGGUUUAAAGGGAGCGUAGGUGGCUUUGUAAGUCAGUGGUGAAAUAUUGCGGCUCAACCGCAAAACUGCCAUUGAUACUGCUUAGCUUGAAUCAAGUAGAGGUGGAUGGAAUAUUACAUGUAGCGGUGAAAUGCUUAGAUAUGUAAUAGAACACCAAUUGCGAAGGCAGUUCACUAUGCUUGUAUUGACACUGAGGCUCGAAAGCGUGGGGAUCAAACAGG
RNAcentral lists this ribosomal RNA (253 nucleotides) under uncultured bacterium. RNAcentral describes it as "partial 16S ribosomal RNA". It matches the Rfam family "Bacterial small subunit ribosomal RNA", at positions 524 to 776 of the family's 1533-position model. The record is from RNAcentral.